CGCAGUGUCAAGCGCUGGGACUAUUUUAUUAAUUCUAAUGUAGGUAAUGUAGUGCAACACGUUCUAUUAGAAAAGUUAAAGAAUGGUCCAAAAUUACUUAGAGAUAACUGCACUGAGUCUAGUUUUAUGUCUAGACCUAACAGCCAGUUACCUGUGUAACCCACCUAUGCAGUACCACCCACACACACAGUCCUGUGUCUACCUGGUCAAAGAUUGGUUGUCAAAAGAUGGUGCACUUAACUAUUGUGCGAGACGGUUUAAAGGCGGCAUAAAUCAGAGAUACACGGGGGAUCUGAUGUGUAUCUUGGAUACAGAAAC
Molecule: long non-coding RNA, 318 nt
Organism: Physella acuta
Lineage: Eukaryota; Metazoa; Mollusca; Gastropoda; Physidae
Source: RefSeq, a predicted model, not a curated record